UGGGGAAUUUUGGACAAUGGGCGAAAGCCUGAUCCAGCAAUGCCGCGUGUGUGAAGAAGGCCUUCGGGUUGUAAAGCACUUUUGUCCGGAAAGAAAUGGCUCUGGUUAAUACCUGGGGUCGAUGACGGUACCGGAAGAAUAAGGACCUGCUAACUACGUGCCAGCAGCCGCGGUAAUACGUAGGGUCCAAGCGUUAAUCGGAAUUACUGGGCGUAAAGCGUGCGCAGGCGGUUGUGCAAGACCGAUGUGAAAUCCCCGAGCUUAACUUGGGAAUUGCAUUGGUGACUGCACGGCUAGAGUGUGUCAGAGGGGGGUAGAAUUCCACGUGUAGCAGUGAAAUGCGUAGAGAUGUGGAGGAAUACCGAUGGCGAAGGCAGCCCCCUGGGAUAACACUGACGCUCAUGCACGAAAGCGUGGGGAGCAAACAGG
RNAcentral lists this ribosomal RNA (429 nucleotides) under bacterium. Its description in RNAcentral is "partial 16S ribosomal RNA". It matches the Rfam family "Bacterial small subunit ribosomal RNA", at positions 355 to 776 of the family's 1533-position model. The record is from RNAcentral.